RNAcentral lists this ribosomal RNA (253 nucleotides) under uncultured bacterium. Its description in RNAcentral is "partial 16S ribosomal RNA". It matches the Rfam family "Bacterial small subunit ribosomal RNA", at positions 524 to 776 of the family's 1533-position model. The record is from RNAcentral.
UACAGAGGGUGCAAGCGUUGCUCGGAAUUAUUGGGCGUAAAGGGUAGGUAGGUGGUCUCAUUUGUCUUAUGUGAAAUCCUUGGGCUUAACUCAAGAAGUGCGUAAGAAACGGUGAGACUGGAGUCCUGGAGAGGGUCGUGGAAUUCCCGGUGUAGCGGUGAAAUGCGUAGAGAUCGGGAGGAACACCAGAGGCGAAGGCGGCGACCUGGACAGGUACUGACACUCAACUACGAAAGCGUGGGGAGCAAACAGG